This 609-nucleotide ribosomal RNA is filed under the name Idiostolus sp. RNAcentral's name for it is "partial 12S ribosomal RNA". The record is from RNAcentral. Lineage: Eukaryota; Metazoa; Arthropoda; Insecta; Hemiptera; Idiostolidae.
GGUGCCAGCCCGUGCGGUUAUACACUUAGAUUAAGUUAAUUUUUUUGAAUUGUAUUAAUAAUUUAACAUUAAAUUAAAUUAAUUAUAUUUUUUUAAAGUGAAAUUUUAAAAAUAUUAAAAAUUUAAGGAUAUAGAUUAUAUGAAAAUUAAAUUAUAAACUAGGAUUAGAUACCCUAUUAUUUUAAUUGUAAAUUUUAAUUCUUAGGAUUAAUAGUUAUGAUCUUUAAAUUAAAAAAAUUUGGCGGUAAUUUAUUCUUCUUAGAGGAGCCUGUCCUUUAAUUGAUAAUCCACGUUGAAUUUUACUUUAAUUAAGUUUGUAUACCUCUGUCAUUGAGUGUCUUAUUAGGGUAUUUUCUUAAAUUUUUAAUUUAAAAAAUGUCAGGUCAAGGUGCAACUAUAUUAAAGUUGAGAUGGGCUACAUUAAUAAUUUAAUAAUUAUGGAUUAAUUAAUGUAAUUUAAUUUUGAAAUUGGAUUUAGGUGUAAUUUUUAUUAAUUUAUAAUUUUGAUUUUGUUCUAAAUUAUGCACACAUCGCCCGUCACUCUUAUUAUCAGAUAAGAUAAGUCGUAACAAAGUAAAUCUACCGGAAGGUGGAUUUAGAAUGAUUAUU